Phacochoerus africanus (Common warthog) is the source of this 1480-nucleotide long non-coding RNA. RefSeq lists it as uncharacterized. The record is from RefSeq and is a predicted model, not a curated record. The transcript is spliced from 2 exons. Lineage: Eukaryota; Metazoa; Chordata; Mammalia; Artiodactyla; Suidae.
GAGCUGUUGAUCUCUAACUCUAGGUCAGCCUGUCAGUUUCAGUUGAUAGCAAGUGGGGAGGAAGGCAGAUUUCUUGAAGGGCAUUCAGGUUAGUUAUUGAUUUUUUUAUUCCCUCCCUUUUCUCCUCCAGUUGAUUUGAUUAUUGGUGAAUAGAACUGAUAUAUAGGAUGGAAACUUGAGUAAUUCUGACAGAUGUUGUGAAAGCCAUUCUUUUCUCUUAAUGGAGUUCUCAACAGGAACCUGAGUGCAAGGUGUAGGCAAGGUAAUAAUUCUUGGAAUUUUCUUGCUUGUUUAAGGUCAAAUUUUUUUAGAGUGACAGGUCAUCCUCCAUUGUGUCAAAUACACUAUCCAUUGUUGAUCUUCCUAACAGGUCCAUCCCACGGUUAUUCUUUCACCAGCUGCUGACCAAAAGUGAUAUUCCAUCUGUGAGCUAGUUAUGUGGAUACUGAGUUGAAGAAGAACAUCCUUUACUGGGCUUAGAGCCAGAGAAGGUGCGAGGGCACAGAUUCAAGCUGCUUGGAACAUAAACAGAGAAUGCACUCACAAUGGCUUGGGGCACUUCAAAAUUCAAAAGAUGGGCACGGAGCCCCGAAAUGCGGGGCAGCUUCCAAGGUAUUGCUUGCCAGGAAGGGACGCCUGCCUGGACACCAACCACCCGAGCCGUCUUGCAGCGUCUGCUCCUGUGGCUACAAGGUUUAGAGGACAGUCAGGAUCAAGGCAUCCUGGAGCUGAUGCAUGUGGGGUGUAGAAAUAGGGAAAUGCUCUUCCAAGAUGUGCCUUCCAAGACUGCCUGUGCCCCUCGAUUCAGCAAAUAUUGACAGAACACUUACUCUGCGCUGGGCCGGGAGUUAAGGCAGACGGUCUUGGCUGUCAGGGACUUAAGGAAGUCAGACAUGAAACAAAUCGAGUGGCCAUGAACCUCAGUCCGUGAUUCAUGUGUGAAAAUACAUACUCUUGUUUAUUUUCUUGAAAUCAAAGCUGACUCUGAGCUCUCAUCCUGCUAGAGCAGCAGGAAAUUCCAUUUCUGACAUUUGGACCAGAAGCCCCAGGGCUUUCAUGAGGAUUCUGAAAACAGUUGGGGCUUCUGGUCCCUGUCCCAUUGUAGCUGCUACAGGCAUCCCUAUUUUGCCUAAGAUGUUAGAUGGGCCAGGAGGCCAGGGAUGGCGGCUGCUCAGAGGGAGUCCUCUGCCUCCAGGCCACCGUGGGUACAGGAGACUUUGCCAGAGCUGGGAGGGCCAUGGCCAGCACUUGGCUCGGCCAUCCCUCCGACAUCUAUUCACGGCUCCCUGGACACCAACAAGUUCUCCACCACAUGGGGAGGCAGUCUGCAUAGGAUAAAGCCUGGGACAACCCUUAGGCUUGGGUGGUGGGGAAGUGGGUGUCACUGACUGAUAACUGAUAUAUUUCAUGCUUUCCCCGAUACCUUUUUGGUAGCCAUGUCAAUAUAUGAUUUAAAAUCAUUAAAAAGACUGAAUUCUUA